Molecule: ribosomal RNA, 460 nt
Filed under: uncultured bacterium
Lineage: Bacteria
Description: partial 16S ribosomal RNA
Rfam family: Bacterial small subunit ribosomal RNA
Source: RNAcentral
CCUACGGGAGGCAGCAGUGAGGAAUAUUGGUCAAUGGACGAGAGUCUGAACCAGCCAAGUAGCGUGAAGGAUGACUGCCCUAUGGGUUGUAAACUUCUUUUAUAUGGGAAUAAAAUGUUCCACGUGUGGGAUUUUGUAUGUACCAUAUGAAUAAGGAUCGGCUAACUCCGUGCCAGCAGCCGCGGUAAUACGGAGGAUCCGAGCGUUAUCCGGAUUUAUUGGGUUUAAAGGGAGCGUAGGUGGAUUGUUAAGUCAGUUGUGAAAGUUUGCGGCUGAACCGUAAAAUUGCAGUUGAAACUGGCAGUCUUGAGUACACUAGAGGUGGGCGGAAUUCGUGGUGUAGCGGUGAAAUGCUUAGAUAUCACGAAGAACUCCGAUUGCGAAGGCAGUUCACUGGACUGCAACUGACACUGAGGCUCGAAAGUGUGGGUAUCAAACAGGAUUAGAUACCCGUGUAGUC